Molecule: long non-coding RNA, 21113 nt
Filed under: Phaseolus vulgaris (common bean)
Lineage: Eukaryota; Viridiplantae; Streptophyta; Magnoliopsida; Fabales; Fabaceae
Description: long non-coding RNA (PVUL_LNC005278)
Source: RNAcentral
UUCUAUCCCACGCUUCACUUGUACUCAAGAAUCAUGUUAUUCUCUGGGGCCAAUCCAACACAAGCUCUCAUAAUGUUUUCCAGCAUUGCACGCUGCUUUGACAAUGCAUUCACCACUGGUGUGCCCGGUGGAACCUGUGAUAGUUAUCUCUUGAGUUAAUUUGCAAACUUUUUGAGGAAAAUGAACACGGGAUAAAAGGGAAAUUCACUUUAACAAACUUCGAAAUUGGAGGGAUUGUAUCUCCAUAAUGAGCUUACUACAUAUGUUUCCCUAAACUUAAUUUCUAUUUAAAAAAUAAGCAUGUGGACUCAACAUUCAAUAAGAUUAGAUUAAACUCACUAGAGGAGCCUUGGUCAGGUAGCUGAGAAUGGUAGCAACUGGGUGGAAUGAGUGGAAUUUUCCCUGCAGCAACCACCACAACACAGUGAACUCCGAAGUCAGAAAAGCUACAAAUAAUACAAUGACCAACACAAUCAAGCAAUUAAAUUUAGCAAUGCAUGCAGACCUCCUUUUCAGCUUUGAACUGGAUACGAGUGCUAAGCUCAGCAAGAAGGACCAAGUCCAAUAUAAUAGGAGCAGCCAAGAGAGAAUCCUCGCAUGUAUUGUGCAGCACAAUGGUGUUCUUUCCACCCAUGAAUAUCUCUGAAGUGUACUCAUCCAUGGCUCUCUUGCUGUCCGCAACGUAAGGCACAUACUGCAAUAGAAACAACAAAGCAGACAGAAUCAAAGACCUGACAAGAGAAAGAAAUAAAGAAAAAUAGGUGAAACAACAUUUACCUUAAUAACAACAACAUGGUCGGGAUGUUCACCAGGCUCAUAGAGGAUGGCAUUGCUGUUGACCAUAUCAUCAACAACGUUACUCUUGGAGAUUUCCUUGGAACGGAAGGUUUGUGGAGCAGAGAGAUUCAUACCAUCAUUGUUUCCAAGAUGGUUGUAACUAACUAUUGAUGUUGGCUGUCAAUGGUAAACAGAGAACACUUGAAGAAAUCAAUUUAUUCCUACUUUUUUGCCACAUAAAAUUAGCACAAUACAUAAAUUCUAAACCAAACAUAGAAAGGAUAGAUUGUACUAGUAAAGAAAACACCCAUGAUAUGACAUUGAUAUACCUUGAUACCAGCCCCCACAAGGAAAUCUACCAGCACGGAUUUCAUUUUGGUCUGACCACUCUUGAAGUCAUCUCCUCCAAUCAAACAGUUUUUCUGGAUGGCAAAAUCAAUCAACCCUGAUGGCAAGCAAAGUUAAUAUUGCAUCAAUUAAUACAAUUAAGUUGUGGGAAACUAAAAAGGUAAGCAUUCAACCUGGGACAAAAGUGUUCUGAGGGCUUCCGUUGAUGAAUGGAACAUUUUCCGUAACACAAGCAAUGGCAAACAAGGUGGAAGGAGAAAUCUCAGCCUCAUUUCUGUCCAGGGCAGCCAAGAGGUUCUCCGUGGUGUCAUUAAGACCGACAACCAAAUUACUGUACCUCUCUGUGUUGGCAGUCCACAGGACAACCACCUUGUCCACUUUGGUGGCUGCCUUAAACUUCCUGAGUUCAUGUUAAAAUUUAAAUAAGGUACAGGUAAAUUAAUCCCCAAAGCAUGCAUGUAGAUUGAAAUGGAACAUACUUAAUGUCUUUGAUGACUUGUUGAACUUGCUCUUUCUUUGUGCCCUUGAUCACAUUGUUAGCACGCUCUUCUUGGUUGGCAGCAAUGAAAUCUGGGUCAUAGAUUCCAGGGAGUGGAACCAUGGAUUCCAUAUAAGGCCUCAACUGCUUCUGCAAAUCGAUGUCAAACACCUUGGCCCUACCCAUGGCAUCAGCCAGGUUCAUGUUACUGAUAUCCCAUCCCCCAAACACAAUGUCGUCAGGGUUAACCUGCCAAGAGAUUUCAAGAGCAUGCAUAAUCAUAAUCAAAGUUUAUUGUCACACAUAAUUCCAAAACAAUAUGAAAAACAUCAACCAAUACUCGUAAGACUAAAUCUGGUGAAUCAAUUAAAAAGCUGAAUUUUAAAACUAUGAUAGAAUACCAUUGGAAGAAGGCUCUUGAAUGGGGCAUAGAUUUCCUCUCCCUGGUAGGAGCCAACUCGGAUAGCGGAAGCUUGGGUGAGGGAGCCAAAGUAAUUGGCUUGUUGAAUCUUGUCCUUUGUUGCCCAUGAAAUGCCCCUGAGAAUCAUAUAACGCAAAAUGACCCAUUAAUGUUAGCAUGCAAAAGGCUUCUCUUAAAUCCAAACCAAAAACCACAGGUUAAGAAAAAAAACUAACUCUCGGUUAGCAAUAACACCACCAGUGAGGGUUGAACCGUUGUUUCCACCCCACCCCACAAGCAUUACCCUGGUAAUUGAUCAACAGGCAAAUGAAUCAGAAACUUGGAAAUAAACAAAUAAAUAAAAAUUGAGAGAGGGUUUGGAUCUAGCAUUAAGAAAAAGGAGGUAGAUUUUGAAGCUAACCCCAAUUUAGGAACAUGGGUGUUGGUUUUAAAUUCAUAUUUGACAGAUUUGGGUUUGAUAAUCCACUGAUAGGCGCCAUUUCUGUUCUCGUGAACAAGUUCGGUGGUUUCAUAGUUAUACACGGACUGAAUCUCAGUCUCGGAGUACUUAACAUUAGGAGACUCAACCUUAAAAUUCUCAAUGAACAUUUUUGUUUGUUCAGAGAUUAAGAAUGAAAAUUGAAGAAGAAUGAAGCAAAGGGGUGGGCGCUAAUGCGGUGCAGUGGAAAGGUAGAAAGAUUUGUGAAAGAUUAGAGGGUGGCCAUGAAUAUAACGGAAGUGCUUCCUAUAUAUAGAGAAAACAUGAUCUUCUCUCUACACGUGUGACACACUUCUCUACUUCAUUUACAAUCUCAUUUUUCCUUUCACUUCCUUUUGGUUUCUUUUAUUAUAAUUCUACUAAUAUACAUUUUAAUAUCUAAUUUCAAUCACUUCAAUUCUAAUUAUAUUAUCCAGAAAUAGUUGUAAAGUUCUGUAUCUGGCUACAAGGUGUCCGUUUUCUCUUGAUACGCGGUGAUACACGCUCAAAUUAGUAACUCACUUCGCUGGAUUCAUGGAUUAGUCCAUUAUUUUUAUAACUUUUCUAUUUUGUAUUUAUUUACUUAAUUCGUUGUAGUAAUUAAUUUUAAUUUUUAAAUAACAAAAAUGUAAUAAAAUGUUAAAAUUCAAUCCAACUCUAAUAUCCUAAUAAAAGAAAGUGUUAUACCUAAUAAAUUGUCAGAAUUGUCCAUUUCGCGGCCACUUUUUUAAUUUUAUUUUUUAAAAUAUUUUAUUUUAAAUUUAUUUAUUUGAUACUUUUUAGAUAAUUUUAGACAAUAAUGUAAAUAAAAAUAAUUAAAUUGAAUUAAAUUUUAAUAUUUUUAUAAAAGAAGGUCUAAUAUUUUAACAAAUCCUCAUAUGUCAUUUUUUAUUUUAGAUUUUUUAUUAAUUAUAAAUAUUGAUAUUAUUUUUUUACAAUAAAAAUAUUAAAAAAUAAUAAAAUUGAAUUAAACUUUAAUAUUUUAAUAAAUAUAUAUAUAUAUAUAUAUAUAAAAGAAAUUGAGGGUGGAUUGAAAGCUGGCCUCCACUUUUUUUCUUUUUUUUUAAUUUUUUAAUUUUAAAUUUAUUUAUUUGAUUAUAGUUAUUGGUAUUUUUUAUAAAUAAUAAAGAUAUAAAAAAAUAUAUUAAAUCAAACACUAAUAUUUUAAUUAAAAAAAUUAAUACCUAAUAAAAUAAAAACAAUACUUUAACAAAUGAAAAUAUUUAUAAAAAAGUGAAUAUAAAUAAAUUUAUAUAAAAUACUAAACGCCGCUAAUUAUAAUUCUAUAAACAUAAAAUUCAAAAGUCUCAAAAUUAAAAAAAAAAUAUAUAAUGGCAGUCAGAUAUUUAUUAUUAUGAACAAUCAAAAUGGAAACUAUGCUUUUUUAUUAAAAUAAUCUAUUUAUGUUAAAAAUUAAUAAUUAUUCAAAAAUUAGUUAAAUAAGGAAGGUGGGAUGUUGAAGGAAGUGAAGUAGGUGGUUUGGGUUUAGAGAGAGAAAGGAAGAGAGUAGAACAUUGGCUGGGACCACACCACAUAGUAGCUUUGUGUUCCUCAAACAAGAUUCUGGACAAAUUCGGACACUUCUGGAAUCUUAACUACUUUACUUUCACGCUCCAACCAAGUCGCGUCUUUACACGCUCCAAACUUUAUGGCUACCUUACAUGACACACUUAUUCAAACGCAACCUAAGACCUCUAUGAUUAUAACGCUCUAUUUAGCGGAAACACUUAAUAUUUCAUUUUAAUAUAUAUUUAUUUAUUUAUUGUAUUUGUAUUUUAGUUUAUAAAUAGUUUUAUCUUGACUCUUCUAAGUGUUUCUCAGAAUCAAACAACUUUUUUUUUUGGUUGAUUUGGUAAAAUUAACCUUGUUGAUGACAAAACCUAACGAGAUCAAACUUGUAAAAUUUAGAAUACCAAACUUAAAAAAACAAUAUCAUUUUAAUAGAAUUUUCUGUGUAUGUAGAGUUUCAGUAGAGAAAAAAUUAGUGCUUAAGUUUGUCAUUUAUAACAUUUUGGUCUUAACAAUUAAAAAAAUAAGGUUUCACAUAUGUAAAAACAUGUCUAGUGAAUUAUCAAAAAUUUAACUACUUAUAAAAUAAAUUUUACAAUAUUUUUGUUUUGAAACAAAAAUUAUAUGAAAUUUUAAGAAUAUCCUGUAGCAAACCCGUAAAAAAUAAAUUAAACUGGUGAAAUGAGUUUUGCACUGAAAUAAUGUUACUAACAGAAUGAAAGGUCCCUACUAAAAUCCAGCCAAUAAAAAAGGUAAAUAAACUCUCACUCUCUUAUUUGUAACAAUAACUAUUAUUUUAACCUGUGCAACUCAUGGAUGCUGUUACUUAUUUAUUGAGUUUAGAAAUAAAUUAAUUGUAAAAUUAGACAUUUUAAGUAUUGGCUACAAAAUAUUAAUUAUAAAUAAAGACAAUUAAUUAUAUUGAACUUUAAUUAAUUUAUAGGAGGUGAGAAUAUGUUUCUAAUUUAAUUUCCAUGUAUGAAUUACAAAGAACUAAAAAUAGAAUGCAUAUAAAUAUAUAAAUACAAAGUGUGAAUAUUAGAAAAUAAACAUCAAUAAUCUUGUGAAUAAAUAAACUAAGCAUACUAAUAAUAAAGUGCGAAACAUAAAUUGUUGAAGUUUCAAUAAAGUGAAACAAAUAAAUUUAGCAGAGUUGGUAAAAAAGAAAUACUUAUAUAAAAAAAAAACAUUUCUCAUGGAAAGACAAUAACUUUUGUUAUUGAGUUUGUUGACUUGUGCUUCAACAAAGACAAUCUUAUUGUCUUCUUUAAUAGUGUUUAACAUACAAACAUCCUUUUAUUCUUGUCCAAUUUUUUUUAAUUUAUUUAUCCUUUCUUAUCAAUUAAAAUUUUAAAUAAUUUUAUUUAUUUCAAAUAUUUUAUUUAAGUAAGACAUUAAAUUUUUAGAAUUUAUAUUUUUUAAAAUCUGAUAAUUUUGGUGUCAAAUUGCAUCUAAUCCGAUUAAAAAACAGUUUUGAUCUCUGUGACAUAAAAAAAGGUUACGGACACGUGACCGUACUUGGACGUAGAUUAAUAAAGAAAAGUAAAUGAUGCUUUAAUAACCUUGAGUUAUAUAUAAUUUUUAAUAUAAUAAUUUUAGAUAUAAAUAUAUAUAAUAAAAGAUAGCUUUAUAAUUAAAUAAUAUAAAAAAAUAUUAAAAUUGAAGAAUUAUAAUAUGAUUGUAUAAAAUAUUUGAAUUAUAAAUAUAUCAUUAUCCUAAAAAGAAUAGGUUAAGCUUAGGUGUGUAAGGCGUGGGACCCAAAAGUCUGAGACCCAUGUGACUUAUCUAAUCACGAGACCUCCUUGUGAUGUCACCACAUAAUGCUUUUGUGGUUUCUGUCUCACCAAAAAUCACACUCCUUAUAUAAAUUAAUAUCAUUUAAAAAACUUUAACUUAACUUUAUAAAUAAUAUUUACGUCCAAUUGUAUAUUUUAAUUUAAUUUUUCAACAUAAAGAACCCUUUAGUUUAUUUAUAUAGAAGUCAAAUUAAAAUUGCCAUUUGCGUCAUGAGAAAUGCAAAUCAUGCACGUUACUCUUCAACAAGCUUUUCCCUUUACUUCCACCUUUUUCAAUUUGAUAUAUGUACUUUCACUCUUUAAUGCAAUUUUUUAAAAACUGAGUUCUGUUACAUUUGCAUUCAAAUUAUUUUAUUUACACCUGCUCUGUAGAAUUUAAACGUGUGUGUCUCUCUCGUAAUAAACAAUACUUAACAUUUGAUUGAACACAGCACGUGGAUAUAAUUAUAUGUAAAAUCAAUCAUAAUACUAUAAGAAAAUUAUUAUAUAAAAACUAAUCUUAAAAAAAAAAAUUAAUUGUUAUAUUAAAUGGGUGAUCCGAUAACGGCCUGAUAGCGAGUAACCUGAUAAGACCAACAAACACUCACUAGGAUAGACUCGAAAUGACUCUGAUACCAUAUUACAAAGUGAUCUCCAACAAUAUUUAAUUAACUACCAAGAUUUUAACUAUCAAUUAUUUAAAUUCUAAAUUUGCUAGGAAAAACUUUGAUGGUUAUAUCUAUACAUUUUUUAAAAUAACUUUCCACUACCUAUAUUUUUAUACACUUAAUUUAGACUCAGUUUUUUUAAUUACUUUCUACUUUUCUCUAGUUAAAAAUAGAGUAUCACUUCAAUAAUAUGCAUAAUAAUAAGGAUUUACAUUCAAGAUACUCCAACUAUCUCAUAUAAGAAGAAUUAUACACACUACAACAAGAAAACCAUUACAUAAAAACUAAUUUUAUAUAAAAACAUUUCAUCAUAUAUCAUUACAAGAAAAUCAUUACAUAAAAACUAAUUUUAAAGAUAAAAAUUAGUUAGUUGUUAUAAUGACUAAAUUAGAAACCAUUUUAGAGACUAAAAAAAAUAUUGAAUUUUAAAUUAAUUUAUAUUAUUCAUAAAUAGUUUUUAAAUUGGUAUCUAAUUAUCUACCAAAAUUUUAACAACUAAUUUUAAGGGCAAAUGAAAUUAACAUGCCAACUCAACCAAUUAAGUUGCAAUUUGAACAUAGAGAUUGAAUGAUUUUAAUUGGAUAUAAAAGCAUUUCAAUGUGAGUUUUAUAGAGUAUCUUAUUUAAUGGAGAUAUAAUCUUGGAAUAAUAUUGUCUAGCUGGAACCUUGCUUAUACAACCACUUUUAAAACUUUAUUGACAAAAUAAAGAAUCAGAUGACUAAAAAGAAGAUUCAGAACAAAGUUAGAGAAAACUAACCAAACAUAUAUCAAAAUAUAGACUCAACAAAAAAAGACAUAAAAAGUAAAGCGUUACACCUUUUAAACGAAUUCGAAGGUAACAGACUAAGCUUUCAAUAUAAAAUUUUAAUUGAACUAUUCUCUUGUUGAACGUGAGAAAUAAAAUGUUGCAGAAGACAAUAAUACCUAUUAGCUAGGGACCUUCCACUUUGUUCACAGGAGGGUAAUAGAGAAUAAGGUUGCUACUAGGGUAAAUCUGGAAAGACGCGGGUGGUGAUUGAGAUCCCUUAUGUUGUCUGUGUGGGAUGGUGUCUUUGUUUUAAGUGACUAGGCGUGUCCUUCGUUAUUCAUAAGGAUCCUUUGGCAAACUUUCUACAGUUUAGGUUAAGUCAAGCUUCAGAUUCGGUUAAUGACGUUUGGGUGCAAUUUGGGUUGGAGUUGUGAGUGGUAUUUGGAAUCAUAGGAACUGCGUGUCUUUCGAUAGGGGGUGGUAGAUGCGCUCGAAGUAUUCGCCUUAGUACAGGUAAAGGUUUGGUCGUGGAUUUACGCAAAGUCUCAUUGUGCUUCCUUCUGGUACUCUAGUUGGGUUUUGAACCAGUGGAUUGUAUGAGGAUGGUAAUUUAAUAUUUUUUUAUGGUUAGUUUAGUUGUUCCUUAGAUAACCAGGUAGGCGUUUCAUGGUAGAAGUAUGGUAAGGUAUUUUGUUCUUUAUUAUAAGGGUUGAACCACCCCUGAAAUGGUUCUCAUUUAUUUAUUUUUUAUUGCCAAUAAAAAGAAAACAAUUUUUGCAAAGAUACUCAUUUAGAAUUGAUUAGAAUGCGUUUACUUAGUAAGAAUAAAGGGGAAGUUUGUAUGAUGAGCACCACAAAUUUAGUUUGCUAAUGCAUGGCAUUGAUGCUUUGUUCUUCUUUUUUCCAUUUUUUAAGCAGACAAAGUUGGUGGUUUGUGGACCGUAGAAGACAAACAAAAAUGUGGAAAUGAUUCCAAGUAAACAAAUGAAUGCGUUUUCUAGGCACAAAUACAAGCCACCAGUUAUCUUCUUUUUAUUUAUUUAUCAUCUUUAAGCAUCCUUCAACCUUACUCAUUACAAAAAAAUAAAUAAAAAAUAAAAAAUAAUUUUAAAAAUUAAAAUAAUUAAUUAUUAUAUUAAUUAAAUUAGAGAUAAUUUUAUAAAUUAAAAAAUUAUUAAAAAUAGUUUCUAUUAUUAAUAAAAAUAAUAAAAUAAUUUUUAAAUUAAUAUUUAAAUUAGUUAUCAAACUUUUUUAGAUAUUAAUAUUUUAGAUUAUAAAUUAGUCUCUACGUAUUUAAUCUAAAAUAUGAGUAGUUAAAACUUUGAUAGCUAAUUUAGAUACAAAUUUAAAAAUUAUUUCUAAUAUUUUAUUAAUAAUAUAAAUCACAUUAAAUAUAAGUAAUUUUUUAAUUUUAUCUAAUUUAGUAAUAUUUUUUUUAUAAAUUUAAUUAUUAUUUAAUAUAUUUGUUGAGUGAUAACACAACUUUCCCCAACAUUUCUUCUCACUCAUAUACUAUAUUUUAUGUAUUGAGGUGAUUUUCAGUUAUUUUUAGAAGUAACGUUUUUGUGCUUUUUUUAUUUUUGUAUUAAUUGAACUGUUAAAUUAAGAGUUUUUAUUAGUAGGUCAAGUCUAUAAGUUUUUUUUUUUAAUUUACUAAUAUAUUUAAUUUAUCAUUAAUAUAUUUUUAAAGUUUAUAUAAAAGUCAACUAUAAAAUUCCAUAACUAAAUAGUUUAUUAUUACAAUUUCAUAUAUAAAUAUAUGCCUUAAAAUAAUAACUUCAAUUUUUAAAAAAUUUAAUCUCUACUUAUAUAAAUAUCUUAUUAUAUCUGAUGUUGAUUUUAAAAUUUAGAAAAUAAAAUUUUCUUUCAUCAAUAACAUUUUUAAAUAAAUAUUAAUUGAACAUGUAACUAUUCAUAAACAGGGAGACUCCAAGUUAUACUACAAGAAAAUCAUUAAAUAAAAACUAAUUUUAGAAACAAAAAUUAGUUAGUUAUUAUAAUGAUUAAAUUAGAGACCAUUUUAGAUACUAAAAAAAUUAUUAGUUUCUAAAUUAUUUUAUUGAUAAAUAGUUUUUAAAUUGAUAUUUAAUUAACUACCAAAGUUUUUGCUACCAAAUUUAGAAUAUAAAUAAUUGGUAGUUAAAACCUUGGUAGCUAAUUAGAUAUCAAUUUAGAAAUUAUUUAUCAAUAAUAGAAACUAAUUUAAAAACUAAUAAUUUUUGUAGUAUCUAAAAUAGUCUAUAAUUUAUUCAAUAUACCAACUAAUUAUUUUUUGUUUUAUAAAUUAAUUUUUAUUUAAUUUUUUUUUUAGUGUUGGGAACAAGGUUCAAAUCCUUUUAAGGACGUUAACAAACUCAAAAUAGAUACCAAUUCAGAUAGUAAUUAAAAUAAAAAGACUCAUCCCCCCGUAUAACAUACACUACAAGAAAUCAUGAAAUAAAAACUAAUUUCUAGAAACCAAAAUAAUUAGUUGCAAUAAUAACUAAAUUAGAGACCAUUUUAGAAACUAAAAAGAAAUUUGGUUUCUAAAUUAGUUUCUAUUAUUGUUAAAUAGUUUCUAAAUUGGUAUCUAAUUAGCAAUCAAGGUUUUAGAGACUAAAUUUAGAAACUAAAUAAUUGGUAUCUAAAACCUUAGUUGCUAAUUAGAUACCAAUUUAGAAACUAUUUAACAAUAAUAGAAAAUAAUAGAAAUUAAUUUAGAAACCAAUUUUUUUGUUAGUUUCUAGAAUGGUCUCUAUUUUAGUUCCUAUUGUAACUAAUUAUUUUGAUCUCUAAAAAUUGGUUUCUAUUUCAUGAUUUUCUUGUAGUGAUAGUUGUGCAUUGAAAUAACGAAAAUUUCUUUGAAGUUUCAGAACUAAAUUUGAUUUAGCUAUGUAAGAUGUGAGUGUUACAGUGAGUUACAAAUGAAGCACCAUGUAUAAAACAUGCUUAAAUUAAUUAGUUAAUUUAGAUCACAACUACCAAUCAUAUCAAUAAUUAUGUGAUUUACCACUACAAGAAAAAUCAUCAAAUAGAAAUAAAUAUUAAAAUAUUAAAAUAAUUAGUUAAAAUAAUAACUAAUUAGAGAUCAUUUUAAAAAUUAAAAAAAAAAUUAAUUUCUAUUAUUGUGAAAUAGUUUCUAAAUUAGUAGGUAGGUUUUAACUACCAAUUAUUUAGAUUUUAAAUUUGGUAGCAAAAAACUUAGUUGCUAAUUAGAUACCAAAACCAUUUAACAAUAAUAGAAACUAAUUUAGAAACCAAAUAUUUAUUUAAUCUCUAAAAUGUUUCAAAUUUAGUCACUAUAACAACUAAUUAAUUUAAGUAAUAAAAUUGAUUUUCAUUUUAUAAUUUUCUUUACAGAGUAUAUUACGUAAUGAGGCCUUCACUGCAUGCACUACAAGAAAAUCAUCAAAUAGAAAUCAAUUUGUAGAAACCAAAAUAAUUAGUUACAAUAGUAACUAAAUUAGAGAUCAUUUUAAAAAUUAAAAAGAAAUUUGGUUUCUAAAUUAGUUUUUAUUAUUUUCUAUUAUUUUUAAAUAGUGUCUAAAUUGGUAUCUAACUAGCAACCAAGGUUUUUGCUACCAAAUUUAGAAAUUAAAUAAUUGGUAGUUAAAAUCUUAAUUGUUAAUUAGAUACCAAUUUAGAAACUAUUUAACAAUAAUAAAAACUAAUUUAGAAACCAUUUUUUUUUUUAGUUUUUAAAAUGAUCUCUAUUUUAGUUCCUAUUGUAACUAAUUAUUUUAGUAUCUAAAAUUUGGUUUCUAUUUCAUGAUUUUCUUGUAAUGAUGCUAUCAUAGCCUAAAUUCGCAACAUUUAUUUAGAUGCUUUCAGUUCUUCAAUUUUCUCACCAGGAAGUGAUGCUAAUAAUGAAAAAAGCUUACCCAUAAAGGUAGAUGGUGGUGAAGACAAACAAAUUUUAACAUUUUAGUACAAAUUGUGAAUCGAAAUGUUUUUAAACAUGACAAUAAACAAGGAAACAAAUUGUUUAAAGUGAGGGAAAAAGACUGAAUCAAUAAUUCUAAAGUUAGUUAACCUAUACAAUAAUUCUAAAAACUGAAUCAAUAAAUGAUCUCUUGUAAGGACUAAUGCAUGUGACUACAUUACUACUUACUUCAAAAUAAAAAUAUACAAUUAGCAAAACAGCAGUAUGAGAUUGUCACAAGAUGUUGAGUCAAUGUUUCAUCAUAAGCGAGAACACCAAAAUUAACACAAGGAUGAAUCAGACCAGACUAAUCACUCGAAUCAUUUCAUUGGAAUAUUUUAAAAAACAUGCAUUUUAGAAAGAAAAUUUAAAACAUUGAGACCAAAUCACAUGGUGUAAACUAAGUGGGACAUCACAAUAAGUUGAUUUUCCUAUAAAUUCACAUAAUUGUCAUUGAAUACUAGUUAUUUAUUACAUUUGAAAUUAAUUUGAUUGAGAUAAUAUUGUUAAGGUCAAUCAUCAUUAUGAGAUAUUGUUUGUUUUUCAACUUCAAAUUCGUUGAUAUAAUAUCAUAUCUAACUUAUCUUUAUUCGACUCUUAAACUAAGUGAGAUUAUUUAGUGUACCAGAAAAUUCUUCUAAGAAGGAUUCUAAGGGGAACUAAAAUUUACUUUUUGAAUCACUUUUUUAUUCUCCCUACAAGAGUUUAUUUUUUUAAUCUUUUAUUCAUUUCAUUAAUGGUGCAAAUGUUUCGACUUCAAAUCCGUUAAGAUAAUAUUAUUAUGAUUAAUUAUUAUAUUCAAGAUAUUUUCCGCUUUGAAGUUAGAAUUUCAUCAUGAUUUUACUCUUAACAUUGAUAUUCCAACCUUAGAUUUGUUUAAAAUAUUGUUGGUUUUGAAAGUCUCAAAACUCAUUAAAGAAAAUGUAUUUAAAUUACUCAUAUUAUUAAAUGUACCACUAGGUGAUAUUAUUAAAUGUAGCCCUACAUAAAGGUGAGUGAAUAUUGGAAAGUUUAGUUUGUUGAUAAAGAAAGGGUUUUGUAAUAAUCCAGAUCACGUAAAAAGGGUCCAGAUGAUGUUUCUAUAUGAUAAGAAUCGAAAUGCAUGUGACUCAUAAUGAAGUUUUGAAUUAACUCUUUCAAUUAUUUGACUUUUGUACUAAUCCAUUGUCUAUAAUAUGCACACUGUUCAGACUACAAGUACAAAUUUGUGUAUAGUGCUUGAAGCAAUGCUUCAUGCUUCAUAUUUUAAAAACUUAAUUAUAUACUCUGAUGUUAUCAAAUAUACUCUUUGAGUGGGGUUUAAAGCUAGUAAAAAAAAAAAACCAAUGUUCCAUGUAUAAAUGCAGUCCAGAAAUUAUUAAUUCAUAUUAUUUAUUUCCAUUUUAUCUGUAGUAAUGUUAUUUACAAUAUAUUUAUUUUUCUUAGCUUAAUAGAGUUUUUGUUACGUUGAAGGGGGGUGAGAAGAUGAAUUUGGAUUGAAUUGGUGACUCAUACAAAUUGGUUGUUACUCAUUGUUGGUUUAUUCAUAGUCUCUUAUUUCGGCUGGAAUAUCUUUGUGGUUUUGAACUUAAUCAAAGAGGUAGAUACACGCAAUUAUUAGAUACUUAAAUUAGUAAAUAUUUUAGUAGAGUAAUACAAAGUAUCUACAAUUUCAAUCAGAUGGAUAAGGUUGGCUUGAGUUUAAAAAAGAAGAAGCUUAAUUGACUAAACAUUUUGGGUAAAAAUUAAGCAUGCUCUAUGGGCUAUGAAGGCCCAGAACACCAUAUUCAGCGGGUAUAGGACAUUGUUGGGCCGAGAUAACUUAUUGGGACUGAAAUGAUUAAAUGAUUAAUUAAGGGCAAUUGCUUCCUGCACCAUAUUACUACACCCGAUCUCAGUGGAAAAGAUGAAACUGUCGUUAAAAAAAAUUUCCAAAAUAUGUGUUUUGGAUUUUUUUUUCCUGAACGAAAUUCUAUAUUACGGAUUUUUUUAUCUGGAAUGAGUUUUUCAUUUUUGUUUCCGGAUUUUUAUUUCUGGAACUCAAUAAUCACUUCCAGAUUUAUUUUUCCGAAAUAUAUUAUUUUCAAUUCCGGAUUUUUAUUUCUGGAAUUAAGGACAUUUUUGGAAAUUGAAAAAAUAUGUUGGAUGCAGGUUAAAAAUGAUUGGGUGUAGGAAGCAUUUGCCUUAAUUAAGCAUGCUCUAUGGGCUAUGAAGGCCCAUAAGACCAUAAUCAGCGGGUAUAGGACAUUGUUGGGCCGAUAUAGCUUGUUGGGGCUAAAAUGAUUAAUUCGGUAGGGCUGUUUCUUUCUUCACCUCCAUAUUUUCUAUAUGUAAAAAAGUUAAAUUAUAUGAAGUUUUGGUUGUGGAUGUGAGUGGAGUUGGUGUGGGAAGAGAUUGGUGAAGGUCAUGGUGGUGUUUGCUUUGCUCUUGAGUAGCAAGGUCGUUUGCAGUGAUUCGUGGUUGUUUAUAGUAGUUGGAGAUAUGUGUUUAUGGUGGGUUUUUUCGUUUUUUGGUAUAGAUUCUGGUGUGAGUUUGAUUAUAUUUUGGAUUGUGUAACUCAAAACGUGUUUUUGGAUCUAGAUAAACAUUUUGGAUUUUACAAUCCAGAGUACAAUAUUAUGGACUUGACAAUCUAAUCUAUAAGGUAUUUUCGGAUUCAAAAUUAUCUUACGAAUUGGAGAGUCUAACGUUUCACUUUUGGAUUGACCAAUCCAAAACAUAUUUCUGAAUCCAAAAACACCUUCUAGAUUGGAUUAAGACACUGGUAGGGAUGAAAGAAGAAAAAAAGGUGAAACAUGUGAGAUUUAUAAUUUAUUUAUUUAAAGAAGAACAACAACAUAUUUUUCACACAACCUAUGUCAAUGCCACAACACUAAGAUAAAAUCUUUAUAUAAAAACGAAUUUUAGAGACAAAAAAUAAUUAAUUAUUAUAUUAACUAAAUUAUAUAUUAUUUUGGAGACUAUAAAAAUAAUCAAUAUCUAAAGUAAUUUAUAUUAUUAAUAAAAUUUAUAAACUAAUUUAUAAAUUGAUAUCUAAUUAACUAUAUGGUUUGAGCUACCAAUUAAUCUAGAUUUUAGUUGGUAAUCAAAACCUUAGUUAAUUGGAUACAAUUUAGAAACUAGUUUAUAAAAUUUAUUAAUAAUAUAAAUUAUUUUAGAAACUGAUAAUUUUUGUAAUCUUUAAAAUAAUAUUUAAUUUGAUUAAUAUAGAAAUUAAUUAUUCUUUAUUUUUAUUAAUACUUUUUUUUAAUACAAAACUAUUUUCUUGUAAUGUAAGAAGAAAUGGAGGUGCACCAAGUAACAGGAAUCCGGUAGCCCUAACCAAUAUUUCUAGAAUGUAAGUUUCGAUUUGAGAUUAGUCAUUCCAAAUAAUGAAAACAGUGUACGAAUAAAUUAUUGGAGUGCAGAUAAUUAAUUGACUAAAAUAUGAACCAAACAAUAAAUUUCACUAUUGGAUUUAAUUAUUUUUAAGAGAAUAAUUGUUAGGAAAACAAAAAACAAUUGUUAUUUCACUAUAUAGUUUGCAUGAAACAAAUAGAAACUAUACCCUCUGUUAAGAAAUACAUUUUAUUUAAUUUUUUUUAAUAUAACAUCUUUUAUCUUUUUCGUUCAUACUUCUAAUAAUUAUGUGAUUGACAACGUAAACUAGAAAUGGAUUAAUUAUAAUUAUUUUAGCUUUAUAAAUUUGUUGCUAUCUUCAUCUCUAUUUUUUUAAAUUUUUCUUGGUUUGUGAAAAAAAACACGAUGGCACUUAUAUGAGAUGGAAGGAUUUAAACAUAUAUCAUCUUCUUUACAUAAUAAGUGUAUAAAUAUCACAACUAACAUUGAUUACUUUUUUCUACUAAUAUUUUUAGUAAGUGUAACAAGUCUGAUGUAUAUACGUAGUUCUAGUUUUUCUUUUCCAAAGUCAAUAAGAUUAUAUUCAUGUUUUAAUUAUUAUUUUUGUUACAGUGCGAAAGUGAUUCAACAAAUCACACAAUUCCCACAGUAUUCACACCCAUGCGUCGGAAGUUAAUGAGUCUCAUGCAUAUACUCACCGCCAAUGGAAUUUUCUUCUUCGGAAUCAAAUAAUAGUCUUUAUUAGGAUAUCUUAAUUUUAACAUAUUUAUAUACAUAAUUUGUUAUUUUUUAUUCUUAAUUUAUAAUUAUAUAAUAUAUAAUUUUGUGUUUCCAUUUUAAAAAUUAUAUGAAUUCUUGUAUUUGUAUCGUAUAAAUAAAUGACACUCGGUGUUUGUGCUAGAUAGUAACUAAUAACAAGUGUGAGGAUUUGUUAAAAUUUAAGCAAAAGUAACUUCCAAACAUACUUCCUAAUAGAUAAUCACACUUUCUGUUGUCACAUAUUUGUACAUUUAUUGACUUUUUUCAUUACAAUUAAUGUGCUUUUAGUGCAAGCAAUUGGACAUCUUCCAUUGCAGCAAGGUUUUUUAGUUUCAGUGAGUCGCUCACAUGUAUAUAUGUUAAGAUAAUUGAAGACUUACACUGAAAAGGUUUUUCAGAAGAAAGAAAAAACACAGAACAAACGUUUGGCAAUUAAUGCAUCACUUAUCUUAUUGACAAAAUAAUACUUAAUGAGAUCACUAAUUGCAAAUACCCUGCAUACUAGCUAGCUUAGUAGAAAUAAAUCAAAAACAUCACAACAAAAGUUCUCUCUAUUGGGAUGGAUGCCAUGGCAAGUCCCAAAUUGAGGUUGCAUCCUCUUGAACCUGCGGAAUCUGAACUGGGUUUUGAUCAAAGUCCUCGUUAUCGUUGAGUAACAUCUCUAGUGCAGCUUCCAAUUCAAGAUUUUCAACACCAUUAAGCCAGUAACAAGCGUUAUCUUCCAAUGUUCCACUCCCACCAGCAGCCUCCACCACCUUCGCAUCAUUCUGAAUUGCCACAUUCAUCCAAUCAUCUACACUCGUGAUUGGUGAUGCUUCAUUGGAGAGAUAACGGUGAAAAGGAAGGUAGCUAUCCUCUAUGCGGUAGGCACAGAGAGCUUCAUGGUCCAACCUCGCGUUCCUGUCCACAAACCCCAUAGACAACUUGCUCUGUGGACACUCAACGUUUUGACAUGCAUAUAACUUAUCAUCCUCACUGCCACUACCAAAAGAGACCUUCCUCUUCAAAAGUUGAGCAGAGUCAGAGCCAGAGCCUUCUCCCUCUUCAUGGUUCUCAACAUCUUCAUUUGAAAGAGAUAACUUGCCAGUUAUUCCUAGUAAAACCUCUUCUUGGUUCAUGACUUUGGACCAAGUCGAACUAUCCCUGGCUGUCAUUUUAUCUUGCAAGGUUUUCGACUGAGUCACCAACCUUCUGAGUUUAUCAAAAUCAGGGGAUAUGUGUUUGAUAAUCGCAGCCAGAACAGAAACUUUCCAGGCCUUUUUCAAGUCAUGGGGCUUCCUAUAAGGAGGGGCCCCAUGUUCUUGGGCCAGAAGGCCUUGCUCACCCCACCAGAGUUCCUCCCCGGUGGGCCACCAAGGGGGAGAUAAGCCUCUCUCCAAAGGGAACUUUCUUUGUGGAGGGACACAGUGUUGCCGCAGAGCAGAUAGCAGAGAACCCAAAGUAGAGUCUUGCAAGUCUUGGAGGAGGUGAAUAUAGGAGGUUAUAUCCAUCUUGUCUUUUUCCAAGAGUGGCAAGUAAUUCAAGAUUGCACUGGGGGCGCUUUGGUCAAAGCGGAUUUGGUCCUUCCACCACUCUCGCAAGCUGUCGGAGGAACCAGACACGGGCUUUCCCUUUUCUGGGAUGAUGCCAUAAACAAAACCUUGGGCGUUGCAGACUUCCAUGAUCUUCACCAUGUACUUGAGGACCAAGUCUUGUGCUCUUGACAUCUUCUUCCUUCUCGAUGCCUCUAUUUUUGCUUCUUUGUCCGGCUCUUGUUUCUCACGCUUCUCCUUCAGCUUCUGUAGCAGAAUCCUAUCCUUCCACAUGCGUUUUUUCAGCUGGUCAUAGUCGAUGCUCUCAUCUUGGUUCUCUUCUUCAGUGAUGUAGGGGUCAAUUUCUUCGUUGAUCAGCACCAUGACAAUGACUAAUUCUGUGAGUUGUUGUUGUUGUUGUUCCUAGAUCAACUUUGAUUCAGAUGAGGUUAUGGGAUAAGAAUGAAUAGGAGAGUUGUAGCAUGAGCAUGGAAGGUAGAGGGGUAUUUAUACGCAUAAGUGGUGUGCGAUAUAUGGCGGUGCAGGGAGGGAAAUUGGAUUAAGGUUAUGGGAAGAAAAGUUAUAAGAGUAUUAAUAAAUGAUGGAGGAAUAAGGACAAGGUGGCAUUACCAAGAUGAAGGUGAAUGAUGAAGUGUGGCCAGUGAUCUGAAGAAAAGGUGGCAGUGUUGCCGUGUGUCAAGGGAAGGCAUGGGUAGUUUUGUUGCAUGGAUUCUGAGUUUUCAACACUGUCUUUCACCAACUUGCUGCAUGAUGUAAUGCCCAACGCAUGUGGAUGGGACUCAACGUUUGCUUCUUUUAAUGUAUACAACCUUAACACUAAACACAAUUAUUUUUGGGCCCAUCAACUUCUGUUCUAUGAAAGGACAAAAAUUGUAGUUUGAGACUUAGAAGGAGACACAGUCAGGGAAGGCCCAUUUUUUUAUUUUGAUUUCACACAUGUGAGCCAAAAAUUAGAUUCAACACCUGACUCGACUUACAUCUUAUGGCCGAUUGCUUCCUGCACCUAGAUACCAAGUGUCACCUCACCUCUAUAGUAAACGUGGAAAUACUUUUCUUUUUUUUUUUAAUCCAUACAUAAUCGAGACGAUGUUUUUGGAUUCGGAAGUUUUUAUCCUUUUUGGUCUUUAGAUUGAAGUCUUUUUUGGAUUUGAGAUAAGUCUAUGGAUUAUCAGAUAUAUUUCGGAUUACAUAAUUUGAAAAUUAAUCUCAUAUUUAGAAAAAGACUUCUAAAUUAUGUAAUCUAAAAGCUAAUUAUGCUUUUGAAAAAAGACUUUUGGAUUAUAUAAUCUAAAAAUUAAUCUCAUAUCCAGAAAAGACUUAUGGAUUACGUAAUUCGGAAGCUAAUUACGCAUGUAAAAAAAAAGGCUUUUGGAUUACAUAAUCGGGAAACUAAUCUCAGGUAUAGAAAAGACUUCCAAAUGAUGUAAUAUGAAAGUUAAUCACAAAAGACUUCCUGAUGACAUAAUCUGAAAACUAAUUACAAAUCUUGAAAAAGACUUCCACAUUAUAUAAUCCAAAAUAUUGAAAAAAAAUUAUCCUACACAUAGGUUUGGAUAUGUUGAUCGUAUCAACUAUGUGAUUGGUAGAGAGUGAUGGUUUAAAGCCUAAAAACUUUCAAAUGGUUAUAAAAGGCUUAGAAAAUCAAUAGUGGUAGGUUGUCUUUGAGCAGGAGAUUGAAUCUAUGAGGAAGAACUACACAUGGACACUUGUUAAUCUGUAAAGAAAUCAUAAGGUGAUAAGAGACAAGUGAGUGUUCAAGAAAAAAGAGAGAAUACCAAAUGUAGAGGACAAAGCUUAAGGAUUAUACUGGUGACAAAAGAGUUUACAUAAGUAGGAAGGAUAGACAUUAAUAAGAUUUUUUCAUCUAUGAUAAAAUAUUAUUUAAUAAAUUUUUUGUAUCUAUUAUUAAUCAUACAAUUCAAAGCAUGGAGUAUUCAAAUUUAUUUAUUUUAAAAUAUAUUUUUAUGAAUGAAAAUAACUAAACAUACUUUUAAAAAUAUAUAGUUAAGUGUGUGGAAUUCAAUAAAAUGUUGUAUUUUUUGGUAAUGAAAUAUAAUGUAUUUAAUAGUAUAAUUUUUAUAAAUAUGUAAUGUUCAUAGAUAUAAAAUAAAAGAAAUGGUUUGACUUUGAACACUCCUCUGAAUGGUGGCCAAUGUGAUUGCGUCCAACAUCAGCUUUCAGCAAAUGCAAGGCUUAUAAUUGGCGUCAACAAUUAUUUUGUUUAGAUAAGUCCUAUAAUUAGGGUUUAAUGAGGAUUCAGCCACUCACCAUACAUCUUAGUGUUCUGCUCCAUCGUUGACAUUUACUAAAAUAUACCAAAGAUAUAUGAAUAUAAUAAUGAUAAUAACAAUAAUAAUAAAAUUUGGUAGACUUGCUAAAGAUAAUAAUAAAUUCUACAAUUAGUGGCCCAACUAUUAUGCACGUUAAUACAAUAUUUUUAAAAUAUUUUUUUUAUCAAACAAUAAUAUUUUUUAAAACUUAUAAAAGAUAACAAUAAUAAUCUAUAACUAUAAUAAAAUGGGUUAAAUAACUGUGAAAUUGUUUUUUUCUUUUACAAAUUUCAAACAUUUAAAUAUUCAUUUUUUUACCAGUAAAAAAUAAAUAAAAUAAAAUAAUACACUUUAAGAGUGUUUUAACUCUUACACAAUUAUAAAAAAACAAGUUUUUUAUUCAUUCAACCAGCUCAGGAUCCAACAGACUUUAUAGCACAUCAGUCACUUUAACAUACCAGAACAAGAUAAGAGCACAACAAAGUACAAUAUCAACUCUCCAAAAAAAACAUAUUCUCAAAACAAGACACAAAAAUCUAACAAACAUCAAAUAAAAGUAAGUCAAACACUCAAGCGUCAAAACCAUCAAACCGACCAAGCGAGCAGGAUACAUAAUCCAAAAAGCCUAAAGAAAACACACCACGACUUUCAAAUCUGGACAAAGUGUUAAACAUGGAUAACCAAUCAAGCAUCAGUCUCUCAAAUAACUCAUAUAACAUAAAGGUUCCAAACACCAAAUCGAGUAAUAUAAGUCCGUCAAUAUUUCCUUUACCGUAACCCAAGACAAAAAUCAUCAAGUCCUGCCACAUUUAAAUAUCUGUAAUAAGAAAACUAUUAAAAUGAGUCAUUUUUAAUUUUUUUACAGGUAACAAAUAAAUUUGUUAUAUAAACUAUAUUAUAAUAUUAUAACAUCUACGUCGACAAUGAGUCAACAUAAAAUGUUUUAACAUCCUAGUCUACAUUGGAAAUUCGUUUGUCAUGUAAAAAAAAAUGAAAUGACUCAUUCCAAUAUUUUUCUUAUUACAAUUAUUCACGAAGUCUAAAGUUUGAACUAGGGAUGAAAACCAAUCUCGCAUGAAAGUACAUGGACGAAAAAACAUAUUUACGACCCAUAUCCAGAAUAAAAAUCUUUAACCUCCUCCUCAAAAUUUGAUUUAUAUAUUUUAAAGAUUUCUUUCUUAUCAAAUGGCAUUAACCAUCUUAUUAGAAUUUGCCUCACAAUAAGUAAGUUAUAAAUUUGUACAUUAUUAAGAAACCAAGUAAUAGAUUAGAACUUUGACAAUAAAGAAUGAAAUGAAAAUAGUUUAAAGUUAUUUUUAGAAUAAAUUGAUUUAUUUUCUUUACAAUAAUAAUGUAUUGUCUCCUGUUUCUUAUGUUCUUAAUUAGAUUUUUAAUGAUGUAACUAAUCUAAGACAUUUUUGUGGCACAUAUAGUUAGAAAAUGAUAAGCACUUAGCGUGAUUCUCUGGCUUACAUCUAAAGCAACUCAUGGCACACGCACACUGCUUUCAACGUUCAACCUUUCACUUAAGAUUAGACUUCGUUUAUUUAAAUUAUGUCCAUUAGUUUCUUCUUCGUCUCUCAGCCAUCACAAAAACCAAAAAUAUAUUCAUCACAUACUUUUAAUUUUUUAAGAAGUAAAUUUUAAGUAUAAUUUAAUCUUUUCAAACUAAUUUAUAAAAUUUAUAUUUAUUUAUAUUAUAUAAAAUGUUUUUAUCAUAUAAGAUAUGUUAUAAAAACAGUAGUUAAAUUUAUGUGAUUUAUUUAAUAUUUAAUGUAAGUUGGAGAUGCAAUGAAACCGUCAACGAAAUAAAAUGCUAUUUUUUUUAUAAUUGUAGGAAUACUUUCAUUGUGGCGACUCUAGUGGUACACCAUAAUAUAUCACCACGAACUACGUAUUUCCAGUUCAAAUGAAACUUUUGCAUGUUUUCUCACAGAUAAUAAAAUAAAAUUAAAAUAAAGGAUAAGAUGAUAUACUUAUUAAGGUUAGAGUGUGAAGAAUUUAAUUUAAAAAAAUAAAGUAGUGGAGUGGGUGUUUUUGUUAAGUGAUUGAUUUAAUAAUAUAAGAAAUUGGGUUGGUGGUGUUCAUUGUGGCGCCGCAUAUGACGGUUCUUUCACCCUUUAUCUCCACUGUCUAUUCAGCCGCACCACC